AGUAAUGGAGGCUCUUAACGGUUGAACUAAUGGUGACCGGUCUAAUGGGUUCCAGUUUUAAAAGGUCCUAAGCCUAAUGGUUAGAUUAGGUCAGAGUCUUUUAAGGUGGGCCCAUUUAACCAAAAAUUAUCUAAUUGAAGGUGGUAUUACAUUGGCCAAUAGAUGUGCAGACUGGUAUUAAUAUUGUUUGGGAAAAUGUUUAAUAUACGAACAAAAUCUCGUUGUUCAGUACAGUGGUCUCUUCAGUAAGAAAUAGGAUGAUAAAAGAGUGAAAUUCAUGCAUUAAAGAAGUUAUUUCUUAGGGUAGAUGGCGGGUUAGGUUGAGGUACAUCAAAAACAUGUACGUAGUCACUUCCUAGAUAGGAGUAUACCUGUAUAUAAAAAAAAAUGCUUUUAUAGGUAGAUAAGCAUUUAUGGGUAUGAAAACUUAUGCAAAGCAAAAUUGUGAUAUUGUCAUAAAUCAAAACAAGUUUAUUGACAGUUUGGUCCUCAUAAUAACCAGGAAGAGGUUGAUUUAUUUUGUUCCCAAUGUGGAGUGAUAUACGAGUGUACACAGCUCUCACCUUCUGUCCUGCGGAUUAUUGACACACACCCAGAGAACCCCUAGUCCAUCUAGCUGUGAAUGGAUACCAAACAUAACACUUUUAGAAGUCAGAGUGGUUGAGUGCAGUACAGGUCACACUGCCUAUUUGUGUACUGAGGCUCAGCAUAUGUUGUAGUGUACUGUACUGCCCCUAACAGGUUUCAAUCAUAUGUAACCUACUCUCACUUUUCACUGCAGAG
Long non-coding RNA from Homarus americanus (American lobster), 783 nucleotides. RefSeq lists it as uncharacterized. The record is from RefSeq and is a predicted model, not a curated record. The transcript has 2 exons. Lineage: Eukaryota; Metazoa; Arthropoda; Malacostraca; Decapoda; Nephropidae.